UUUAAAAGGAAAAUACUAAACGCCGGGAAGGUUGAGAGAAUCCUGAGAGAAAUGGCAGUUUGUGUUGCCCUUUCGUUCUCUCGGCUCCCCCCCUACGUGACUAAGAGAAAUAUGUCCCCCACGUGAAAAAGCACUCCAUUUCAAUUCAUUUUCCUUCUUCGCUUUCACAGCUCCUUUCCAGCACUCCCUUUCAACUCCUUUUCCUUUCUAUUUUCAACUCAUUUUCCAGCACUCCCACAUGAACUCAAACUCCUUUUUAUUUUGUUCAUCCUUUUGUUCACUCCAGCAACAACUCGCUUCGUCUCAGCCUUCCCGACAUUACAGUAGCUUCGUCUCCGUCUUCUCUCGCUCCAGAUCUAAUCGGUGGUCAAAAACGAGUUUCCUCUCACUCCCUCGGAGGGAUGGCAAUGGGGAGGGGAGGGGAGGGGACCAAUCUCCCCAUACCCAUUCCCGAUAUUUUGCGUAUGUCCCCGUCCCCGUCAUAAUUGCUUGAAAGAUCCCCAUCCCCUCCCCUCCCCGAAUAAUAACAGAGGAUUCCCGAGAGUCCCCGGUCCCCGAAUAAU
RNAcentral lists this long non-coding RNA (563 nucleotides) under Citrus x clementina. RNAcentral describes it as "Citrus clementina (C. clementina) long non-coding RNA (CCLE_LNC002075)". Lineage: Eukaryota; Viridiplantae; Streptophyta; Magnoliopsida; Sapindales; Rutaceae. The record is from RNAcentral.